Molecule: ribosomal RNA, 740 nt
Filed under: uncultured bacterium
Lineage: Bacteria
Description: bacterial SSU rRNA
Rfam family: Bacterial small subunit ribosomal RNA
Source: RNAcentral
AGAGUUUGAUCAUGGCUCAGAGCGAACGCUGGCGGCAGGCCUAACACAUGCAAGUCGAACGAUCCUUCGGGAUAGUGGCGGACGGGUGAGUAACACGUGGGAACGUGCCCUUUGGUUCGGAACAACUCAGGGAAACUUGAGCUAAUACCGAAUGUGCCCUUCGGGGGAAAGAUUUAUCGCCAUUGGAGCGGCCCGCGUCUGAUUAGCUAGUUGGUGAGGUAAAGGCUCACCAAGGCUACGAUCAGUAGCUGGUCUGAGAGGAUGAUCAGCCACAUUGGGACUGAGACACGGCCCAAACUCCUACGGGAGGCAGCAGUGGGGAAUCUUGCGCAAUGGGCGAAAGCCUGACGCAGCCAUGCCGCGUGAAUGAUGAAGGUCUUAGGAUUGUAAAAUUCUUUCACCGGGGACGAUAAUGACGGUACCCGGAGAAGAAGCCCCGGCUAACUUCGUGCCAGCAGCCGCGGUAAUACGAAGGGGGCUAGCGUUGCUCGGAAUUACUGGGCGUAAAGGGAGCGUAGGCGGAUAGUUUAGUCAGAGGUGAAAGCCCAGGGCUCAACCUUGGAAUUGCCUUUGAUACUGGCUAUCUUGAGUACGGAAGAGGUAUGUGGAACUCCGAGUGUAGAGGUGAAAUUCGUAGAUAUUCGGAAGAACACCAGUGGCGAAGGCGACAUACUGGUCCGUUACUGACGCUGAGGCCCGAAAGCGUGGGGAGCAAACAGGAUUAGAUACCCUAGUAGUCC